AAGAGUAAAGUACUUCCGCUUCCUUAGGUGGAGCUGGAAAGGUGGAGGCGGAAGUGACUGAUCAAUUCAGGGGCGUGGGGUUCGUUUAGGUUUUGCCCUGUGUAUGACCUCGUUUGGAGCCAUGAAACCAGCCUCAAGCUUUAUUCUAGGAAGGUAAUUCUGAAGAUACCUAUCUUCUUGAGAGUGAAAUUUUAUGGAAUCCUAGAUUUCUCAUACCUAGGAAUAACAAUACAAGGGACAGAAUAGUUAGCAGUGUUCCUGUUGAAAGGUCCAAGUAUCUCCCUAGGCACAGAAAACACCCAAAUGAGCAAAGCAGACCUUGGUGGCCAGAGGGGAGCCCUCAGGUAGAGCUGCAGAUGCUGGCAGUUUGUGUUAGAAGGUUCCGGGGCUAAACAGAUGCCUAGAAUUAGCCACCAAAAGGUAAAUUGUAGACUCCACUCUUCAAGAAGCAGCAGAAGGAUUAGGAAUUCAAACAGUGCUAUUUUACGGUCAUAAGAACAGACAGUAUUUUUUUGGCGCAGCAAGAACUUCUUAGGCCAUAAAGCAUGACAGACCUCUUUUCCUUAUGCGCUGAAUUGAAGAAGUGCUGACUCUUUUGCUGAUGGAAGCUCUUCCACGAGUUCACGAAUGGAAAUAACAUCAAGAGUUUUUCAUCUUCUUAGUGUGCAAGGUAUGGAUAUUCUGUGUGUGAACUUCAAGAGUAUCUAAGGGAGGCAAUAACAUGGUUGAUAAUAUACCAGAGACUACAAACUGUCUGUGCAUCCCAGAGGAACAGGAAGCUUGUGCAGGUGAAAAGACUGGAGGAGGAAGUAUGUUGAUGAUACCCAGGAAGCCCACCUUCCACUUCUUUGGUCAUCAGAAGUAAGAAAAAGGACAAUUAAAUAAGUGGUUAAUAGUUGUUUAGAGAAAGAGAAUUUUCACUUUAUAUGCCAGUCAUUGAUAAUAUUUGCCAUAGUGGUUGCUGUUAAGUAAGUUUCUUCCUGCAGGCCUGUGAGAAGGCAUAGUACAUGAAAGUAGCAGUGCUUUCAACCUGAUUAUUAUUAUACAGUAUGGACUUUUAUUAUAUAACAAGCAAUACUUACAUUUUGUUAUUUACUUAUUUAUUACUAUACACUUACACAUAUGCAGACACAGUAAUAAACAUCUAAGUGGUACAAAUAGGUACAAAACCAAAAAUAAAAGUCUGCCUUCUAACUUC
This 1198-nucleotide long non-coding RNA is filed under the name Homo sapiens (human). RNAcentral's name for it is "PREDICTED lncRNA (TCONS_00005018)". Lineage: Eukaryota; Metazoa; Chordata; Mammalia; Primates; Hominidae. The record is from RNAcentral.